Molecule: ribosomal RNA, 307 nt
Filed under: Salmonella enterica
Lineage: Bacteria; Pseudomonadati; Pseudomonadota; Gammaproteobacteria; Enterobacterales; Enterobacteriaceae
Description: bacterial SSU rRNA
Rfam family: Bacterial small subunit ribosomal RNA
Source: RNAcentral
AAAUUGAAGAGUUUGAUCAUGGCUCAGAUUGAACGCUGGCGGCAGGCCUAACACAUGCAAGUCGAACGGUAGCACAGAGAGCUUGCUCUCGGGUGACGAGUGGCGGACGGGUGAGUAAUGUCUGGGAAACUGCCUGAUGGAGGGGGAUAACUACUGGAAACGGUGGCUAAUACCGCAUAACGUCGCAAGACCAAAGAGGGGGACCUUCGGGCCUCUUGCCAUCAGAUGUGCCCAGAUGGGAUUAGCUUGUUGGUGAGGUAACGGCUCACCAAGGCGACGAUCCCUAGCUGGUCUGAGAGGAUGACCA